RNAcentral lists this long non-coding RNA (1455 nucleotides) under Marmota monax (woodchuck). Lineage: Eukaryota; Metazoa; Chordata; Mammalia; Rodentia; Sciuridae. The record is from RNAcentral.
GUUGGAAGGGUUUUAGGAACUCUGCCAGAAACUGGGAACAACUAUCUUUCUUACUAUGCCACAGCAUAUAAUAAAAAAACCCAGCUAUUUAUUGAUGCUUAGUUUGUGCUAGACAUCAUGCUAAGCACUUUACAUCAUCUUUUUAAAAUAGUCAGAAAAGUCUAAAUGAAAUAGAAAGUAACAUUUUCACUUUACAAUUGGGGAAACUGAGAUCAAUACAGUUAAUUACAUUUUCUCAAUUACAUAGCUAGUUUUGUAAAUUUUUGCCCAAAAGCAAAAAGUUAAUGAGCAAAUUAAAUAGGAGGAGAUGAAUUUGUUUACCUAUAUUCACUAAAAAUUUUAAAAUUUGCCCCUCUUCGAACUUAUGCAAAAGUCAUCCAACUGAAGGUGCUUGAAUAAUUCAACUUGGCAUUUUGUAUGCUGACCUUAGCCAGGUUCCCGGCCGCCCCCACUGUUAUUCAUUAUGUCAUUGCCAAACAUUAACUGACUGGCAUAACAUUGCAAACAAAUAUUGUACAGUUUGUCAUACACAUUUAAGCCAUGUACUUUACUUAAAGUUAAACCAUGUAUUUUAAAACAUGUAUUUUACUUUAGUUAUUGAAAGUGAAAGACUGUUCUUUCUUUUGGUUACUGGGUUGAAGCCUGGUGUGCUUUACCACUGAGCUACAUCCCCAGUCCUUUAUAAUUUUUAUGUUUUUGAUACUGGGGAUUGAACUCAAGGGUGCUUAAUUCCAGCUCUUUUUAUAUUUAAUUUCCAGACAGGGUCUUGCUAAAUUACUUAAGCUUUGCUAAAUUGCUGCGGCUGGCUUUGAACUUGCCAUCCUCCUUUCUUAGCCUUCUGAGUUGUUGGGAUGACAGGUGUUCGAGACAGUGCCGGGCUGUCCUUUUUAAUUUUAAUUUUAUUUUUUAAAGCAAAAUUCACAUUUUAUUUGGACUGAAAUAAACCAUACAAAAUUGAUUUUCUUCACCAAAAAUAACAAUAUUUUCAGUAUUAUUUCCAGAUAAACAGCAAAACAUUCAUUUUGUAGGUUUUCCAGGUUUUACUUAUAAACCAAGUUGAGGCAGUAGAUAAUAGUUAUGGAAAAAGACUGAAAGAAAACAGGCAAGUCAGUCGCCCAAAUCCACCGAAUCUGAUUCUAUUUGGAGUAUGAAGCUGAAGUGCUCAACAUUUACCUGCUAAAAGCUUAUGAAGAUGUCAGCUCAACAAAGGGAGGUAAACAGCAACAACCAGAGGGGUAAUAACAGUUUAAGGCUCUUCCACCCAAACUUCAACUGUGAUUUGUUCCUUUAAGUUCAUUUGAUGAAGACAAAAUCUAUAGUAAAAUCUAUUUGGGGUCACAGACUUCUCUCUCUGGUAAUUCCCUUAACUGUCCAUUACAGAUUUUUAACACUCUUAAAAUUCCACUAGCUAAAGGUCAAUGGUGGCUUUGUUGUUGUAACAUUUCAUAAGGUUCC